Molecule: ribosomal RNA, 459 nt
Filed under: uncultured bacterium
Lineage: Bacteria
Description: partial 16S ribosomal RNA
Rfam family: Bacterial small subunit ribosomal RNA
Source: RNAcentral
CCUACGGGAGGCAGCAGUGAGGAAUAUUGGUCAAUGGGCGCGAGCCUGAAGCAGCCAAGUCGCGUGAGGGAAGACGGUCCUAUGGAUUGUAAACCCCUUUUGCCGGGGAGCAAAAGACGCCACGCGUUGCGUUCCGAGAGUACCCGAACAAAAAGCAUCGGCAAACUCCGUGCCAGCAGCCGCGGUAAUACGGAGGAUGCGAGCGUUAUCCGGAUUUAUUGGGUUAAAAGGGUGCGCAGGCGGAAGAUAAAGUCAGCGGUAAAAUUGAGGGGCUCACCCUCGUCGAGCCGUUGAAACUGGUUAUCUUGAGUGAGUGAGAGGUAAGCGGAAUGCGUGGUGUAGCGGUGAAAUGCAUAGAUAUCACGCAGAACUCCGAUUGCGAAGGCAGCAUACCGGCGCUUAACUGACGCUGAUGCACGAAAGUGUGGGUAGCGAACAGGAUUAGAUACCCUUGUAGUC